This 372-nucleotide ribosomal RNA is filed under the name uncultured organism. Its description in RNAcentral is "bacterial SSU rRNA". It matches the Rfam family "Bacterial small subunit ribosomal RNA", at positions 526 to 896 of the family's 1533-position model. The record is from RNAcentral.
CAGAGGGUGCGAGCGUUGUUCGGAAUCACUGGGCGUAAAGCGCGCGCAGGCGGGCGUGUAAGUCAGAAGUGAAAUUCCGGGGCUCAACCCCGGAGCUGCUUCUGAUACUGCAGGUCUGGGGACCGGUAGAGGCUGGUGGAAUUCCCGGUGUAGCGGUGGAAUGCGUAGAGAUCGGGAAGAACACCCGUGGCGAAGGCGGCCAGCUGGGCCGGUUCUGACGCUGAGGCGCGAAAGCGUGGGGAGCAAACAGGAUUAGAUACCCUGGUAGUCCACGCUGUAAACGAUGGGCACUAGGUGCCGGGGGGAGCGACCCCUUCGGUGCCGCAGCUAACGCGUUAAGUGCCCCGCCUGGGGAGUACGGCCGCAAGGCUG